RNAcentral lists this transfer RNA (71 nucleotides) under Marmota monax (woodchuck). Its description in RNAcentral is "tRNA.Ala". Lineage: Eukaryota; Metazoa; Chordata; Mammalia; Rodentia; Sciuridae. The record is from RNAcentral.
GGGGCUGUAGCCCAGUGGCAGAGUGCUCACCUAGCAUGUGUGAGGUACUGGGUUCGAUCCUCAGCACCACA